Molecule: ribosomal RNA, 807 nt
Filed under: uncultured archaeon
Lineage: Archaea
Description: bacterial SSU rRNA
Rfam family: Archaeal small subunit ribosomal RNA
Source: RNAcentral
CCCCACUGCUAUCGGGGUGGGACUAAGCCAUGCAAGUCGAAGGUCCCCAGCUCCGGGGGCCUGGCAGACAGCUCAGUAACACGUGGCCAACCUACCCUAGGGAGGGGGAUAACCCCGGGAAACUGGGGUUAAACCCCCAUAGGCGAUGGGUUCUGGAAGGACCCAUCGCUGAAAGUGGUGCAUGGGGAUGCUCCAUGCACCAGCCCUAGGAUGGGGCUGCGGCCCAUCAUGGUUGUUGGUGGGGUAACGGCCCACCAAGCCUAUAACGGGUACGGGCCCUGGGAGGGGGAGCCCGGAGAUGGGCUCUGAGACAAGAGCCCAGGCCCUACGGGGCGCAGCAGGCGCGAAACCUCCCCAAUGCCCGAAAGGGUGAGGGGGUCACCCCGAGUGCCACCCUCGUGGUGGCUUUUGCCGGGUCUAAAAAGCCCGGCGAAUAAGGGGAGGGCAAGACGGGUGUCAGCCGCCGCGGUAAUACCCGCUCCCCGAGUGGUGGGGACUAUUACUGGGCUUAAAGCGCCCGUAGCCGGCCGGGUGUGUCCUCCGUUAAAUCCACGGGCCUAACCCGUGGGCUGCGGAGGAUACUACCCGGCUUGGGGGUGGGAGAGGGCGGCGGUAUUCCCGGGGUAGGGGUAAAAUCCUCUGAUCCCGGGAGGACCACCAGUGGCGAAGGCGGCCGCCCAGAACACGCCCGACGGUGAGGGGCGAAAGCUGGGGGGAGCAAACGGGAUUAGAUACCCCGGUAGUCCCAGCCGUAAACGAUGCGGGCUAGGUGUCGGGUGGGCUACGGGCUCACCCGGUGCCGAAGGG